CUAAAGAGCUUCUGCACAGCAAAAGAAACCAUCAUCAGAGUAAACAGACAACCUACAGAAUGGAACAAAUUUUUUGUAAUCUCUCUGUCUGACAAAGGACCUGAUUGUAUAAUGGUAAACACAACCAAUGUUGUUCCUGCUUUCAUAGAGUUUUCAUUUAAGUGGAUAAGACAGACAAACAGAUCAAAGGAUGAAGAGAGGUUUCCAGGUUAGUUAAGAUUUCCUCUGGGACAAAGCACAUUAUUUAUGUUCUCCCUGACCUGAAAGAGCACAUGGAUUUGGUUUAUUCUUUCUUCUCCCACUGACCUCCGAGAAUUCUUUAGAGGUAGGAGUUUGUGGCUGUCAUUUUAAAAUUAUAAAACUUGAAGAGUUUGAUCCAUGAUAAGGACCUAAAAAAUGCACAUGAUUACUUAUUACCAAUGGCAAUUUUCCAGAGGUCAAUGGGUAGGGAGUGACUGUGAGACACUACCAAGAAUUUCAUGUAAUCAAUGCCUCUGGUGUUCAAGCCUUGAGGACUGCUCAUUCUGGAUCCGUGUAUGGCUCCUUAUAAUAACCAGUUGAUGAUUGACCAUGCAUAUGAAGAGAAAGAUGAAAGAUUUCUUAACAAAACCAUUUGGCCUCAACUUCUGGCAGAUGUAUCCACAACAGCCAAUUAUUUGAAUAAAUGUUAAAUGUUAAGAAAUGGGUUUUGGUAACAUGUCAUACUCCAUCUUGGUCAGGCAACUAAAAGUGCAAUUUUGAAUCAUUAGGGCCUUGGCAUUUUUCAUUCCUCCAUUGGAUACGAGUGCUGCAUUUUAAUGGUGGAGAGAACUCCAGGAGAGGAACCAUUGUUAUGAAAUCAAACUGAGACAGACAUCUGUUUGGAAGACUCAGGCUCAUCUCUCAUUUCCCCAAAGCACUUCAUCAAGGUUAAAUAAGAAAACAUUUGGCUUCUACUUUUAUGUCUUGAACUCCUAAAACUAUGUAAUCAUGUUUUUUUGAUAACUCGGGGCCAAGUAUGGAUCAGGUGUGUCUGUGUUACCUGGCCUGGCUGACGGGAAUGAUCAAGUUCAACACUUAAUUGUCAAGUUUCCCUUUGCCUUUGUGCUGUUUAGAUAGAAUUUCAGAGCUUGUAAAGGCCUAGCCAUAAAUAAAACAAGAUUGCAUGUGGGGAUUUGGAAAAUGUAACAUUUACGAAGCCACAGAUGCAGAGCAGAGGGAACGCAGAGUGAAAUAUUUAAUUACUUCAUCACUGAAACUAAUUACCAAUUGGGGAGUGUUUUCAUUUGUGGAACAUAGAUUGAUUAGCAGGAUCACCAGAGUUCCAGUCUCCUUACUACUGAUUGCAUCUUUCAUAGAAGAAAAAUGGGUUAGUUUUAACAAGCUGGAGUCAAACUAGAGACAAGCAGGGUUACCAAAGAGUGAUUGCAUGGGAUUAGUGUUAUUCAAUAGGCAAAGAGGUAUUGAGUUUGGAUUUUUUUUCCUUAUAGACUAUUAGAGAUAAAUUUUACAUUUGGGAUUUACUUUUCCGUAAUAGGUAAGGUUGUAUUUUUCAUUCAGGAAGUUAAUUUGUUUGUUCCACAAAAAGUUUCAAUCAAUGUUAUAUAAUGUUCAGUGACCUGGAACCCUGAGGCUAAGUUUUGUCCCAGAUACUGGACAUAGAUAUAUUGUUUAAAGACCAAAUUUGGAAAAUUAGGACCUCUGUAGCAACUUUUUUUUUUAACACAGAAAUAUUAAAGCUGUGGUCUCAUGAUGGAGCUCCCUGAUCAACAGGAGUCAGGCUCUGAUGGAGCAGAACUUUGUGGGGAGACUUUUCUUGGGGGAGUGGAGGUGCUUUGUUUGGCUUCCAUAUUCCAGGCUUGCUUCUCCUUCUUGGGAUAGCUCUGUGUCAUACAGGUGUCCAGUUACAUCAUUCUUUCUUGCCCUUGCCCUUGUCAAUUCCACUCUAAAAAAAGAUGAAUUUAAGUUGAUGUGUCCCUGGUCUGUUUUUGAGAUAGAAAAUAGUUUCAGGACCCAGCUUGCAGGUGGGCUAUGGCUCCUGAAAUGAUGCUGUGUGGGCAGGCACAUUCUCCUCGUUGGUGUGGAGGUUCUUGCUGUGGGUGACAUUAAGAGGUGGCCUGGCACCUGGCACAGUAGGAAGAAUGCUGGGGCAAGGCAGGGACCUGGGUUCUGGUUCUGGCUUUGCCGCCUACUCUCUGUCCUUGGGUACAUUUGUUGAUCAUUUAUUUCUCAUGGCUUACAUAUGAAGAUCAUAUAAGAUAGGGAAUGGGGAGGGUAUGGAAAGGCCUAAACUUUGUUCAGAUUAAAAUGAUUAUUUUCAUUUCAUUGGCUAUGAAGGUUGAUUAUUUGGAUGCUACAAUAAUAACUUAGAAUAUAGCGUAUCCUGUUCUAAUUUUACUCCAUACUGGAAUUGUGAUUGCUACUUUGAGACAGAGACAAAUUCUGAACCCUAGGCUGUGAAUUUGUGGAGGAAGGAUGACCUUCCUCCGGACCAGUGUACUCUCUUGACGGUUGAGUCUAUGGCAAGACUUUUCCAGAGCAGCCAGUGCCCUCUGAUAUGGUUGAUUGGUCUGGUGUUAAGGACAAAACAGUUUUGAAGCCAUGUGCCUCUCACCGCUCUUGUCUGUGGUGCAGCUCCCUGCUUUCCUGGCCUCGGGAUUUUCCAGAGUGGACAAUGGAUGACCCCAGGCUGGGCCAUGGCUGCCUCAUAAAAGGGAUGAACUGUGUGUGAUAUACGUAGUAGAAACACUAUUGUCUCAAGGAAGGAAUUUAAACCCGAGGGCUUCACACAUUACUUAGGUUAAGACUUUCAGGAUUGACAUAGAAAUUGAUGGGAAUCCAAUUCAGGGGCCCCAGAGGCACAGUUUAGGAGGAGCAGACAGGGUGAGGGGAUAGACUCCCUCUCUACUCCUUCACUUUGCAACUUUUACCCCACAGCAAGGCAAAGAUUUCUGCCUGACAUUAUAGGCCAAUGCUAAAAUCAAAAUAUUUAAAGGAAAUGAAGACACAAAACAAAUGAUAAAAACAAAAAAAUUAGAAAUUAAAGGCCUAAAGAAUCAAGUGAAUA
This 3046-nucleotide long non-coding RNA is filed under the name Homo sapiens (human). RNAcentral's name for it is "HSALNT0300901". Lineage: Eukaryota; Metazoa; Chordata; Mammalia; Primates; Hominidae. The record is from RNAcentral.